This 117-nucleotide ribosomal RNA is filed under the name Danio rerio (zebrafish). Lineage: Eukaryota; Metazoa; Chordata; Actinopteri; Cypriniformes; Danionidae. The record is from RNAcentral.
AGCCACAGCCAUAUCACCCUGAAGCCCAAGAGCGGUUACUUACUGAAGCUAAGCAGGGUUAAGUCUGGUCAGUACCUGGAUGGGAGACCACAUUGGAAAACUAGCUUGCUGUUGGAA